This is a long non-coding RNA of Coccinella septempunctata (seven-spotted ladybird), 1343 nucleotides long. RefSeq lists it as uncharacterized. NCBI's taxonomy places the organism in Eukaryota, Metazoa, Arthropoda, Insecta, Coleoptera, Coccinellidae. The record is from RefSeq and is a predicted model, not a curated record. The transcript has 2 exons.
ACAAAUGGGACACUUCUAUUCGGAAGAACGUUAAAACAGUAGAGUAUGUUGCAUAAAUAUAGAUCGUUAUCGAAAAUAACUUGCACACUAAUGACAUACAAGAUUCAACACAACGAGACAACCUAGAUUUCUCUCAGAUAACAUUUAGAAAAAUCGACUGUGAUAUCUUGUUCGUAAAUUUUUAAAUAGAUAUAAAAUUAUUUCAUACGAGUGAACUAGAUCUAGAAACUUACAUCAUGCCCAUUAAUAAUAUUCAUACAGGGCGAUUCAAAACAACCUUCGCCCCGCUGUCAAUAUUCUGUGCUUUCUACUGCUAAAAUUAUCAUGAUAUAAUUAGGUAUGUAAAGUAUCUCCUGUUUCUGGAUUUUCCUCUCGUUUCGAACCACCCUGUUUAUCUGAGGAAUUAUGUUAAAAAAUUCAGACAUGAUGAAUAAGAUCAUUCCUGAACAUCGGUGGGGUUAAUCGGAUUUCUGAAUUUAUGUAGAUACGUAACGAAAUUUAUUUUUUGAAGAUAUUUUUUCGGACGUCAUUCAGGGUUAGAGUUUUAAAAAAGAGUAGAGUUCAUAAAAAAUUCAUCAUUAAUGUAAUUAUUUUCUAGUGCCACGUUCUUGUUGAUUUUCUAAUCACCCAAGAACAAGAAAAAAUACAAUCCUCAAAACAAUUGUUUCCAAUGAAUAUCCAGUACCUAACUGUUAGUGUAUAUGCUUUGAAAAUCGGUAAAUAUUGCCUGACUAUUCAAAUGAGUUAUCUUCGAUGAGAAAUACUUAUUUAAAUUCAUUACCGGUUUGUUAAAAGUAAACAGUGAGAAUAAAGGUCAAGACGUUCUUCACAUUUAUAAAUAGAAGCGAAGAAAUCCCACGUAUGUUAGAAAAAUAUUGACCAAAGAAACAAGUUGAAGUUAUCAUCUUUCAUCAUUCAAAAAUGAAAACUGAGCUGCUAUUGUUAUUUUUCUGUGCAAUGUCACAGGUCAUCCCUCUCACCAACGCAAAGUGUGAGUGUUUCGAGGAAUUCCAGGUCGAGAAAGAAAAUGGAGAGGAGAUAUGCAGGGGAGUGAAGCACUAUAGAAUUUUUCGAUGUGGGGAAGAAAAACCUCCAAUUUGUCAAUGUCGCCGUGGCGGCAUUGUUGAUGUUAUGGAUAUUGGCGAAACUUCUUGCACUGCCCCGGAAAAACAAUAUGAUAGUGUAUACUGUGAACCCAAAGAAGCUUGGGAGCAAUAUUUCAAUAGGUAUCCUAGUCGCAGGUUGUAUCAUUGAGAUUGUGAGCCAAAUGUCCAAGAGGAAACAAUUCCAUCAGUAUUUCAAGGUGUCAAUCAAUUAAUUGCAUAUUAAAGUUUACAGUUUCA